RNAcentral lists this unclassified non-coding RNA (337 nucleotides) under soil metagenome. RNAcentral describes it as "partial contains 5.8S ribosomal RNA, internal transcribed spacer 2, and large subunit ribosomal RNA". The stretch from base 1 to 120 matches the Rfam family "5.8S ribosomal RNA", at positions 35 to 154 of the family's 154-position model. The record is from RNAcentral.
GAUGAAGAACGCAGCGAAAUGCGAUAAGUAAUGCGAAUUGCAGAAUUCCGUGAAUCAUCGAAUCUUUGAACGCACAUUGCGCCCCCUGGCAUUCCGGGGGGCAUGCCUGUCCGAGCGUCAUUUCUGCCCUCAAGCACGGCUUGUGUGUUGGGUGUGGUCCCCCCGGGGACCUGCCCGAAAGGCAGCGGCGACGUCCGUCUGGUCCUCGAGCGUAUGGGGCUCUGUCACUCGCUCGGGAAGGACCUGCGGGGGUUGGUCACCACUAUAUUUUACCACGGUUGACCUCGGAUCAGGUAGGAGUUACCCGCUGAACUUAAGCAUAUCAAUAAGCGGAGGA